ACUUUCGUCCACGGGUGCCCGGUGCGAGUCCGGGCUGAGAUGCCGCAACGGCGGACCGUCGAACCUGAUCCGGUUAAUACCGGCGCUAGGGAGAUCCCAGUGACCACCA
This 109-nucleotide non-coding RNA is filed under the name Corynebacterium humireducens. Its description in RNAcentral is "TPP sequence". It matches the Rfam family "TPP riboswitch aptamer (THI element)". Rfam says of the family: Vitamin B(1) in its active form thiamin pyrophosphate (TPP) is an essential coenzyme that is synthesised by coupling of pyrimidine and thiazole moieties in bacteria. Lineage: Bacteria; Bacillati; Actinomycetota; Actinomycetes; Mycobacteriales; Corynebacteriaceae. The record is from RNAcentral.